AGAAGUAUGCAAUAAUAACUUGCGAAAUGCUUUAGUGUUCCCUCGGAGUAUCUGGGGCAUGGCUAGGCAACUAGUCAUAAAACUAAAGAAUGUCAUUUUGCGAGACGCUGCUUCU
This 115-nucleotide non-coding RNA is filed under the name unclassified sequences. RNAcentral's name for it is "DUF3800-V RNA". It matches the Rfam family "DUF3800-V RNA". The record is from Rfam by way of RNAcentral.